RNAcentral lists this ribosomal RNA (301 nucleotides) under uncultured bacterium. RNAcentral describes it as "partial 16S ribosomal RNA". It matches the Rfam family "Bacterial small subunit ribosomal RNA", at positions 509 to 809 of the family's 1533-position model. The record is from RNAcentral.
CAGCAGCCACGGGAAUACGUAGGGUGCAAGCGUUAAUCGGAAUUACUGGGCGUAAAGCGUGCGCAGGCGGUGUUGUAAGACUGAUGUGAAAUCCCCGGGCUCAACCUGGGAACUGCAUUGGUGACUGCAACGCUGGAGUGCGGCAGAGGGGGAUGGAAUUCCGCGUGUAGCAGUGAAAUGCGUAGAUAUGCGGAGGAACACCGAUGGCGAAGGCAAUCCCCUGGGCCUGCACUGACGCUCAUGCACGAAAGCGUGGGGAGCAAACAGGAUUAGAUACCCCCGUAGUCCCUGUCUCUUAUAA